This 464-nucleotide ribosomal RNA is filed under the name uncultured bacterium. Its description in RNAcentral is "partial 16S ribosomal RNA". It matches the Rfam family "Bacterial small subunit ribosomal RNA", at positions 339 to 795 of the family's 1533-position model. The record is from RNAcentral.
CUACGGGGGGCACCAGUGGGGAAUAUUGCACAAUGGGCGCAAGCCUGAUGCAGCCAUGCCGCGUGUAUGAAGAAGGCCUUCGGGUUGUAAAGUACUUUCAGCGGGGAGGAAGGGAGUAAAGUUAAUACCUUUGCUCAUUGACGUUACCCGCCGAAGAAGCACCGGCUAACUCCGUGCCAGCAGCCGCGGUAAUACGGAGGGUGCAAGCGUUAAUCGGAAUUACUGGGCGUAAAGCGCACGCAGGCGGUUUGUUAAGUCAGAUGUGAAAUCCCCGGGCUCAACCUGGGAACUGCAUCUGAUACUGGCAAGCUUGAGUCUCGUAGAGGGGGGUAGAAUUCCAGGUGUAGCGGUGAAAUGCGUAGAUAUCUGGAGGAAUACCGGUGGCGAAGGCGGCCCCCUGGACGAAGACUGACGCUCAGGUGCGAAAGCGUGGGGAGCAAACAGGAUUAGAUACCCGCGUAGUC